CAGUCGCCGCGGGAAUACGUAGGUGGCAAGCGUUGUCCGGAAUUAUUGGGCGUAAAGCGCGCGCAGGUGGUUUAAUAAGUCUGAUGUGAAAGCCCACAGCUCAACCGUGGAGGGUCAUUGGAAACUGUUAAACUUGAGUGCAGGAGAGAAAAGUGGAAUUCCUAGUGUAGCGGUGAAAUGCGUAGAGAUUAGGAGGAACACCAGUGGCGAAGGCGGCUUUUUGGCCUGUAACUGACACUGAGGCGCGAAAGCGUGGGGAGCAAACAGGAUUAGAUACCCCCGUAGUCCCUGUCUCUUAUAC
RNAcentral lists this ribosomal RNA (301 nucleotides) under uncultured bacterium. RNAcentral describes it as "partial 16S ribosomal RNA". It matches the Rfam family "Bacterial small subunit ribosomal RNA", at positions 509 to 807 of the family's 1533-position model. The record is from RNAcentral.